RNAcentral lists this ribosomal RNA (460 nucleotides) under uncultured bacterium. RNAcentral describes it as "partial 16S ribosomal RNA". It matches the Rfam family "Bacterial small subunit ribosomal RNA", at positions 338 to 795 of the family's 1533-position model. The record is from RNAcentral.
CCUACGGGAGGCAGCAGUGAGGAAUAUUGGUCAAUGGACGAGAGUCUGAACCAGCCAAGUAGCGUGAAGGAUGACUGCCCUAUGGGUUGUAAACUUCUUUUAUAUGGGAAUAAAAUGUUCCACGUGUGGGAUUUUGUAUGUACCAUAUGAAUAAGGAUCGGGUAACUCCGUGCCAGCAGCCGCGGUAAUACGGAGGAUCCGAGCGUUAUCCGGAUUUAUUGGGUUUAAAGGGAGCGUAGGUGGAUUGUUAAGUCAGUUGUGAAAGUUUGCGGCUCAACCGUAGAAUUGCAGUUGAAACUGGCAGUCUUGAGUACAGUAGAGGUGGGCGGAAUUCGUGGUGUAGCGGUGAAAUGCUUAGAUAUCACGAAGAACUCCGAUUGCGAAGGCAGUUCACUGGACUGCAACUGACACUGAGGCUCGAAAGUGUGGGUAUCAAACAGGAUUAGAUACCCCUGUAGUC